UUUAACGCAGCUUCCCAUAUUUACAGGAAGAUUAUGUCUUCUUUUUCCAAAGAGCUGAGACAGAAAUAUAAUGUUCGGUCCAUGCCCAUCUGAAAGGAUGAAGAAGCUCAGUUUGCACAAGGACACUAUAGAGGUCAGCAAAUUAGCAAAGUAGUCCAAGUUUAUGGGAAGAAAUACGUUGUCUGCACUGGACAUAUGCAGCGGGAGAAGGCUGGCCAUUUGCCCCAGCAGGGCUCUUAACCCUGAACAAAGACUGAGAUCCUUGAGCCAAAAGCUAAAUCUCACCAAGUAGGAACAGAAAAGGCCAAAUACAAGGAAAAUGCAAUUGGGAAGAUGUAGGAAUAAAGU
Molecule: long non-coding RNA, 348 nt
Filed under: Homo sapiens (human)
Lineage: Eukaryota; Metazoa; Chordata; Mammalia; Primates; Hominidae
Description: non-protein coding lnc-RCAN3-2:1
Source: RNAcentral